CAUGAUAUCACAAUCAAUACACUUUAUAAAUGGGUACGUAUAACAAAUUCAUGACAUUUGGACAUAGAUAUAGAUUGUAAUGCCAGAAAAUUCUGUCUCAUUUCCACUUAUAUUAGUAUGCAUCUUAUGAAUCAAUAAAUAAUUGAAAAGAGCACCAAAUAAUGAUAUACAGUUGUUUGCGUAAAAAACUGACCAAAAUUCAUGGAUGAAACACCCAUCAAUUAUGCUGCACACAUAUAAGUGGGUUUACACUUGUGCAAGCAAGGAGACUUGUUUUAUUGUCCAUCUCACCUUGAAAUAUUGUAUUCAAAGAUGCAUAUGAAAAUUUCCAGAAUUAAUAACCCAUUAAAUCAAAAACAGAUGACAAAAUGUAAUUACUUUACUGAAAAGAACCUUAUAAAUCAUGAUAAUCUUUUUACAUUAAGAAGUUCAGGAAUCAAGUUAUUACAUAUCAGCCUGCACAUUUACUAAAACGGAGAAAUAGAAAGAGAAAGAGAUAGAAAUAGAUG
RNAcentral lists this unclassified non-coding RNA (509 nucleotides) under Hevea brasiliensis (rubber tree). The record is from RNAcentral. Lineage: Eukaryota; Viridiplantae; Streptophyta; Magnoliopsida; Malpighiales; Euphorbiaceae.